GACGAACGCUGGCGGCGUGCCUAAUACAUGCAAGUAGAACGCUGAAGGAGGAGCUUGCUCUUCUGGAUGAGUUGCGAACGGGUGAGUAACGCGUAGGUAACCUGCCUGGUAGCGGGGGAUAACUAUUGGAAACGAUAGCUAAUACCGCAUAACAGUAGAUGUUGCAUGAGAUUUGCUUAAAAGGUGCAAUUGCACCACUACCAGAUGGACCUGCGUUGUAUUAGCUAGUUGGUGGGGUAACGGCUCACCAAGGCGACGAUACAUAGCCGACCUGAGAGGGUGAUCGGCCACACUGGGACUGAGACCCGGCCCAGACUCCUACGGGAGGCAGCAGUAGGGAAUCUUCGGCAAAGGACGGAAGUCUGACCGAGCAACGCCGCGUGAGGGAAGAAGGGUUUCGGAUCGUAAAGCUCUGUUGUAAGAGAAGAACGAGUGUGAGAGUGGAAAGUUCACACUGUGACGUUAUCUUACCAGAAAGGGACGGCUAACUACGUG
This 495-nucleotide ribosomal RNA is filed under the name uncultured bacterium. RNAcentral describes it as "partial 16S ribosomal RNA". It matches the Rfam family "Bacterial small subunit ribosomal RNA", at positions 28 to 507 of the family's 1533-position model. The record is from RNAcentral.